UGUAACAGUGUGACUUCGGGAACACGGACUGCGUGUUUCAGUGACGGCCACGGAGACUGAGUGCUUCUAAUACAGGUAGGUAAGGAGUGAUACUAUCAAUAAGUACAACAUUUAUAGUCUGCUAAUGCUUUUGGGAUAAGCAGUCUGGCGUACACGAAGGCUACCUGUCACGCUUGAAAUAAAUCCAGACUAAAAAUAUUAACAUGCAGCAAGUACUGAACUAAAAGCCUCCCUUCUUGCUCACAGACACAGGAGUGCAGACAAACAGGGUUUUACUGUUGCUAUGUGUGUCUGUCAGCUGGGAAAUGUCAGGUAAGUGUCUGUUACUGAAGGCUUUGGAACUGUCAGAAUCAAGAUUUACCUAGAGACUACAGAAUGCAUAUUUGCCUGCUACAUUCUUUAAAGAAUUAAAUGCUGGAUCGUUACUGCAUAUUACCCGCCAUGAAGUGGUUAGUACAGGGUAGUACAAUUCCAAUGACGUGACCAAGGUGGAUGAUCAAGGGAGGAGUCAGCGACGGCGGACAGGCGCAGCGCUGGAAAUAAGGUAUGUUUUAAUCCCUUAUAAGGGGGCAAAGGGGUGUGGGGAGAGGUGGGGGCAAAACAUCAAUGAAUCAAUGCAUCUCUAUGAGGAAAAUUCAGCGUCUCCAUGCAGAGCGUGGGGAUGCUGAACAGCAGUGCUGCUUAUUGUGCAGCCCUGAGCCAGGAAAUCUAAGGAGUGGCCACUUGGAGGUGUCCCUAGGGGCAAUGUAAACACUGCCUUUUCUCUGAAAAGGCAGUGUUUACAUGAAAAUGCCUGAAGGGAGCCAAUAUUCUCACCAGAACAACUACAUUAAGCUUUAGUUGUUCUGGUGACUAUAGUGUCUCUUUAAGUUUCAAUGAAAAUGCAAGUAAUAUAUAAUGACUGCACUCCAACAUUUCGAAGGAGAGCUAUGCCUGUCUUCAAGACACGGCUAACAGCAGAUGUUAUUAAGGAUAUCCAGACAUAAGCACAGGAGAUAAUACCAAUGGCUUCUUGUCCACGGAUUCAUGCUGCUGUAGUUUGCUAGAGAAUAAAUAAGUUUGCUCCUAGAAAGUGCACUAAGCCAAUUUGAAUAGAAAGGGACAACGGCUCAUGUAGUCCUGAAUCAGGAAACAACUCAGACAACUAAUGCUUGCCAAUAAUCCUGCUUUUGGGUCUCUGACCUAUUCUGGACAGGAUGCAUUAACAUAACAGCUCCUAAAGUAAUUAUUUAUCUUUAUGAUAAAUGAUAUAUUCUAUGCGGUUUGAGCAGCAAUAAACUAUGAAAUAGUACUGGAAGUCGCAAAGUGUUCUAUGUCAAUAUGAACACGGACCCAGAAGGAAUGCACUUCACAAAAUCAAAGAAAUACAUUUAUUGUGCAGAGGUGAUAAUGAGAAAUCUUAGCGGACUGCCAGGUUUAUUGUACUUUGGAUAUGAUAUGAAACUUUGAUACAAUAUUAAGAAAUACUAUUUAAAAAACAACUAUUUUAAUUAAACUGAGAGUCUUGAAGAAAAUACUGCUCUAAGAUAAGAAUAUUGAAUCGCUGAAAUUUAGGGAUAAAUUGGCUCAGAUAAAUGUCACUUGUUAGGAAACCUUAACAUUACAGAGUGGACCGUCUAUUUUGGAACAUUAACUGAAGAUGUAGUUUGUGUUUUAGGACAGGGAAGGGCAAGCUGUGUACAUCUAGAGAGAGCAUUCACAUGUGUCCUUGGGGUGUUUUGCAUAUGUUAAAUGUUACACCCUUAUUGUGCUGUAAUUGUAAUAUUAACAAUAUGGUAUUGUUUGGAUGUCUAAGAUAACUGGGGGGGAAAACGAAUCUAAAUAAACAAAAAUAAGAUUGCUUUUUUAUCGUAUUUAUAUUGUGUUCUAGAUUCAACUCUAAAAUGGUAACGCAAAGAGUACAAAGCAUUUUAUUCAUUAACCCCAUAAGAACAUUUUUGAUGGCAGCCUACGAAUUUUAAUUACCACCAGGUCCAGGCAUCUCAAACUCUACCCGUGCCCAAGUUUCUAAACUACAAAUCCAAUGAUUCUAGUGCACUGAAGAAAUAUUAGAACUGUAGGACAUCAGGGGGUGGGGAAAGGGAGUUUGAGAUCCCUGAUCUAGUCCUUAAAGUUCCUAAGCUAGAAUGAAAUGUCAUGCUUAUUUAGUCCUGGUAGCUCUAUGCAGUCCAUCAGUCACUAAAUGGCAGGUCAUUACGUUUUGAAAUGGAACCCCUAAAGAGCAGAUUGUUGGGACGGUCAAUGGCCCUUUUGGGAAUUAAAGAAGAUCUGUCAUGCAUAUUUAGUAAACUCCUAUGUGUAUUAGUUACAUUUGUACAUGACAAAUACAUUUUUGUUUUUAAAUUAAUGUGGGUAUGGGAUUCUUUUUAUUCGUCUUCAAAAUCUUGAAAAAGCUGCUUAUUGUAAGAUAACUUUCAGGUCUUUGAGUUCAGUGAGGUUUAUGAACAAAGCAUACUAGGAAAAUCUUCAAUGGUUAUUCCAGGCUGGAGGCCACUUUUUAAUGUGUUAAACAGAUAAUUCAUAAAAAAAAACAAAAAAAAAAAACGAGAUACUGCAGCUUUUCCCAGGGAUCUGGAAUGCCUCUCCAGAACACAGACAGGGAUAGUGAUUAAAAUCUUUUGGCUGAUCAGUGCAUUCCCAUUGAAAAUGAUAAGUGCUGAGCACAUGCUUUUGACAACAGAUGCAUGCAUGAGACAUAUGUGCACCAAAAGUCGCAUGUGCGCGAAAUUUGUUUUCAAAGGAAAAUAUAUAACUUCUGUGAAUACCUGUGAGUUCACACAUAGAUCACAUGGAAUUAAAAGUUUAAAGCCAAGAUAGCUAGCUAUAAACAUUAAACUUAAAUUUAUCCAGUUGUACUAUUUUGGUUUAAAAUUUCCUGUUAAAUUCUGUACAAUCCAUGAUUUAGUGAAUAUGCUUUUAUUAAACAGUUCUUGAUUUCAGGGUUUUGGAUUUAAUCAGUUCAUAGUAAACAAAAAAUAAAUAUCAAAAUAUACUCGAACACUACUGAUAUUAAGCUAUAACCACUUAAAUAUGCUGUUUAGUACAUAAACCCCUGUGUUCUGUUCCUACCUAAUGAAGCCUAAUUGGUUUUUUUCUUCUCCGCAUCAGGGCACAUAAGCCAGGAAAACUUACCCUAAAACUUUGGUAUCAUUUAUGCUGUCCAUAUAAUUGGUGUAUUCCUUCAAUAUACAUGUCUGGGAGGUGAGAAAUAAGAGAGCAGACAUGAAAACGGGGAGGAAGGCCAAGACCCGUUUCCUGGAGCAUAAAAAUAACAUUAAGAAGGGGAUACAAAAUCAUUCUGUCCCGGUUCAUUGUAACCAGUGCCCACACUUUAAUCAUCUUUCGUGGGUGGUUAUUGAGCAAGUAUCACUUGGUGUGAGGGGAGGAGAUCUUGUUAUGAAACUUAGACAGAGGGAGGGAUUCUGGAUCCAUAAACUGAGAACCCUUCAACCACUAGGGCUAAACAUGGAUUUUGAUCUAAUUUGUUUUCUUUGCUUUUUGAUUUCUGGGAUUUUUAUUGGUAUCUUUAUUCAUAUUUUUUAGCAUUUUUAUUUUUUAUAUGUAUAUUUUUUGUUUUUUUACAUGCAUUUUCCACAUUUUUCUCAAUAGUUUGUGGUUUCCAGAACCGUUCCCUAUGAUUAGAGUGGGACGCAAGAGGAAUAUACUUUUUUUUUAUAUAUUACUUUCAAGGGAUUGUUCAUUUUGUAAUUUGGUUCUUUGUAUAGAAUAUAGUAACAUCUCUAUUCUCUAUUUUGUAACAUUUGAGAUGAAUGUAUUCAUAUGACGUUUUUUUCAUUAUGUAAUUUUGGGUCUCUUUUAUCUUCAUUACUCUCUUUAUGCCGUCCGACGAAGUUGAUGGAGUGGAACGCAUGUGCGUUCCAGCCGCGGGCUGAUGACGUCUUGAAAGGCAGACAGUUUCCAGAACGGUGGAACGCAUAUGCGUUCCACGAAGAUUCGGCGGAAGACCAUAUAUGGAUAGAGACUCGAGUGAAUGAUCGCUGACAGGUGAUUGCAGCUACACUGAUUGGCGGAAUAGAUGCCGAACACGACGACAGGGACAUUUAAAAGGAACUUUGGACAUAGAGUUUAUAUUAGCACUUUACUUGUCUGUGAUAUUUGUUUUUAUAAUUUGUCUUCUCCUGAUAAAGUCUACAUAGUAGACGAAACGAGUUGAGCCGUUUUAAUUACUGCCUGUGAUUUCUGUAAACCAUCUCUACUGCACACCACCUUGGAUAGAGGGAUACAGAGAUUUAUUGAUGGGCGUUUUUAAUUCUUACUUUUUGUAAGUGGAUUCAAUUAAACCGUGUCAUUUUAUACUUCAAAACUUUGCUGUACUAUGUCCAGUUCUUCUUUUUUUGCAUGCACCCUUGGGAAUUGAGAACUUCCACUGCAAAGACUUCAAAAGAGAUAUUGAUGGGCUUGAAAAUUCAUAUAUUCUGUGAGUGCAAUAUUAGGGGUUACCUUGCUUAAUGGUGCUUC
This 4479-nucleotide long non-coding RNA is filed under the name Pelobates cultripes (western spadefoot toad). Lineage: Eukaryota; Metazoa; Chordata; Amphibia; Anura; Pelobatidae. The record is from RNAcentral.